AAAUUGAAGAGUUUGAUCAUGGCUCAGAUUGAACGCUGGCGGCAGGCCUAACACAUGCAAGUCGAACGGUAACAGGAAGCAGCUUGCUGCUUUGCUGACGAGUGGCGGACGGGUGAGUAAUGUCUGGGAAACUGCCUGAUGGAGGGGGAUAACUACUGGAAACGGUGGCUAAUACCGCAUAACGUCGCAAGACCAAAGAGGGGGACCUUCGGGCCUCUUGCCAUCAGAUGUGCCCAGAUGGGAUUAGCUGGUUGGUGAGGUAACGGCUCACCAAGGCGACGAUCCCUAGCUGGUCUGAGAGGAUGACCAGCCACACUGGAACUGAGACACGGUCCAGACUCCUACGGGAGGCAGCAGUGGGGAAUAUUGCACAAUGGGCGCAAGCCUGAUGCAGCCAUGCCGCGUGUAUGAAGAAGGCCUUCGGGUUGUAAAGUACUUUCAGCGGGGAGGAAGGUGUUGUGGUUAAUAACCGCAGCAAUUGACGUUACCCGCAGAAGAAGCACCGGCUAACUCCGUGCCAGCAGCCGCGGUAAUACGGAGGGUGCAAGCGUUAAUCGGAAUUACUGGGCGUAAAGCGCACGCAGGCGGUCUGUCAAGUCGGAUGUGAAAUCCCCGGGCUCAACCUGGGAACUGCAUUCGAAACUGGCAGGCUUGAGUCUUGUAGAGGGGGGUAGAAUUCCAGGUGUAGCGGUGAAAUGCGUAGAGAUCUGGAGGAAUACCGGUGGCGAAGGCGGCCCCCUGGACAAAGACUGACGCUCAGGUGCGAAAGCGUGGGGAGCAAACAGGAUUAGAUACCCUGGUAGUCCACGCCGUAAACGAUGUCUACUUGGAGGUUGUGCCCUUGAGGCGUGGCUUCCGGAGCUAACGCGUUAAGUAGACCGCCUGGGGAGUACGGCCGCAAGGUUAAAACUCAAAUGAAUUGACGGGGGCCCGCACAAGCGGUGGAGCAUGUGGUUUAAUUCGAUGCAACGCGAAGAACCUUACCUGGUCUUGACAUCCACAGAACUUUCCAGAGAUGGAUUGGUGCCUUCGGGAACUGUGAGACAGGUGCUGCAUGGCUGUCGUCAGCUCGUGUUGUGAAAUGUUGGGUUAAGUCCCGCAACGAGCGCAACCCUUAUCCUUUGUUGCCAGCGGUCCGGCCGGGAACUCAAAGGAGACUGCCAGUGAUAAACUGGAGGAAGGUGGGGAUGACGUCAAGUCAUCAUGGCCCUUACGACCAGGGCUACACACGUGCUACAAUGGCGCAUACAAAGAGAAGCGACCUCGCGAGAGCAAGCGGACCUCAUAAAGUGCGUCGUAGUCCGGAUUGGAGUCUGCAACUCGACUCCAUGAAGUCGGAAUCGCUAGUAAUCGUGGAUCAGAAUGCCACGGUGAAUACGUUCCCGGGCCUUGUACACACCGCCCGUCACACCAUGGGAGUGGGUUGCAAAAGAAGUAGGUAGCUUAACCUUCGGGAGGGCGCUUACCACUUUGUGAUUCAUGACUGGGGUGAAGUCGUAACAAGGUAACCGUAGGGGAACCUGCGGUUGGAUCACCUCCUUACCUUAAAGAA
This 1552-nucleotide ribosomal RNA is filed under the name Salmonella enterica. RNAcentral's name for it is "bacterial SSU rRNA". It matches the Rfam family "Bacterial small subunit ribosomal RNA". Lineage: Bacteria; Pseudomonadati; Pseudomonadota; Gammaproteobacteria; Enterobacterales; Enterobacteriaceae. RNAcentral also lists the same sequence under 1 other name. The record is from RNAcentral.